Molecule: long non-coding RNA, 215 nt
Filed under: Elaeis guineensis (African oil palm)
Lineage: Eukaryota; Viridiplantae; Streptophyta; Magnoliopsida; Arecales; Arecaceae
Description: long non-coding RNA (EGUI_LNC047669)
Source: RNAcentral
UCUUCAGGUGUCUUGGAAGUCUUCUUAGAGAGAUAUAUACCAUGACUCAUGAGUAACUAACCUCUUUUACAUCCAUCCAUAUUGAACCUCUUCAACACAAGAUCUAUGUACCUAGACUGGGACAAGCCUGGCACCCUCUUAGAUCUAUCUCUAUAGAUCUUUAUGUUAGGAAUUGAGUCUUAAAACCAAUUGUCUAAUUAUAGAUGAUUGUGCUC